This 451-nucleotide ribosomal RNA is filed under the name uncultured bacterium. RNAcentral describes it as "partial 16S ribosomal RNA". It matches the Rfam family "Bacterial small subunit ribosomal RNA", at positions 29 to 523 of the family's 1533-position model. The record is from RNAcentral.
AGCGAACGCUGGCGGCAGGCUUAACACAUGCAAGUCGAACGCCCGUAGCAAUACGGGAGUGGCAGACGGGUGAGUAACGCGUGGGAACAUGCCCUUUGGUUCGGAAUAACUCAGGGAAACUUCAGCUAAUACCGGAUAAGCCCGAGCGGGGAAAGAUUUAUCGCCGAAGGAUUUGCCCGCGUCCGAUUAGCUAGUUGGUGAGGUAAUGGCUCACCAAGGCGACGAUCGGUAGCUGGUCUGAGAGGAUGAUCAGCCACCCUGGGACUGAGACACGGCCCAGACUCCUACGGGAGGCAGCAGUGGGGAAUAUUGGACAAUGGGGGCAACCCUGAUCCAGCCAUGCCGCGUGAGUGAUGAAGGCCCUAGGGUUGUAAAGCUCUUUUGGCGGGGACGAUAAUGACGGUACCCGCAGAAGAAGCCCCGGCUAACUUCGUGCCAGCCGCCGCCGUAA